Molecule: ribosomal RNA, 253 nt
Filed under: uncultured bacterium
Lineage: Bacteria
Description: partial 16S ribosomal RNA
Rfam family: Bacterial small subunit ribosomal RNA
Source: RNAcentral
GACAGAGGGGGCAAGCGUUGCUCGGAAUUACUGGGCGUAAAGGGCGCGUAGGCGGGAUGGCAAGUCGGUCGUGAAAUCCCUCGGCUCAACUGAGGUACGUCGAUCGAUACUGCCGUUCUUGAGGGUUGCAGAGGAGACUGGAAUUCCCGGUGUAGCGGUGAAAUGUGUAGAGAUGCGGAGGAACACCAGUGGCGAAAGCGACUUUCUGGUCCUUAACUGACGCUGAGGCGCGAAAGCAUGGGAAGCGAACGGG